GACGAACGCUGGCGGCGUGCUUAACACAUGCAAGUCGAACGGAAAGGCCCUGCUUUUGUGGGGUUCUCGAGUGGCGAACGGGUGAGUAACACGUGAGUAACCUGCCCUUGACUUUGGGAUAACUUCAGGAAACUGGGGCUAAUAUCGGAUAGGAGCUCCUGCUGCAUGGUGGGGGUUGGAAAGUUUCGGCGGUUGGGGAUGGACUCGCGGCUUAUCAGCUUGUUGGUGGGGUAGUGGCUUACCAAGGCUUUGGCGGGUAGCCGGCCUGAGAGGGUGACCGGCCACAUUGGGACUGAGAUACGGCCCAGACUCCUACGGGAGGCAGCAGUGGGGAAUAUUGCACAAUGGGCGGAAGCCUGAUGCAGCAACGCCGCGUGCGGGAUGACGGCCUUCGGGUUGUAAACCGCUUUCGCCUGUGACGAAGCGUGAGUGACGGUAAUGGGUAAAGAAGCACCGGCUAACUACGUG
Molecule: ribosomal RNA, 468 nt
Filed under: uncultured bacterium
Lineage: Bacteria
Description: partial 16S ribosomal RNA
Rfam family: Bacterial small subunit ribosomal RNA
Source: RNAcentral